Arachis ipaensis is the source of this 484-nucleotide non-coding RNA. The record is from RefSeq and is a predicted model, not a curated record. NCBI's taxonomy places the organism in Eukaryota, Viridiplantae, Streptophyta, Magnoliopsida, Fabales, Fabaceae.
UCUUCUUUACUUUAAUAGAUAGGUCUAUUUCUUUAGUUCUGAUGGGUGUAUAUUGUCCAUUCAGUUGGGUGUAUCUUGUCCAUUCAUUCGGGUGUAUUACUGAUUUGUUUUCGUAUUUAAGGGAUACGUAUUUUCAAGAUUGAUAACAUAUGCCGGCGGGGAACCUCUGCAGAAAGGAGAGAGGGAGAAGGAAAUUAAAUCACCAUAUGUUAAAAUAUCAGGCCAAAAAACAAGCUAUGACUGCGCUGUGUACGUUAUGAAGUGGAUGGAGUUAAUUGAGACGGAAAACAUCAAAAAGGGGAAGUAUCAAUGGGAUAAUUGGCCACAGGAGGAGGUGGACCACUAUAGAGUGGAGUACGCUUCCCGGAUACUAUUCAGUGAGAUGAAUACACAGAGAGAUCGGGCAAUUAGAGAGAGUAGUGCUAUAAGGCUGUCGAAGCCAUCCUCUGUAUUAUUAAGUCCGUUUUGUCAGAUUAAUUCUGCU